UGCCAGCCGCCGCGGUAAUACGAAGGGUGCUAGCGUUGUUCGGAAUUACUGGGCGUAAAGAGCAUGUAGGCGGAUGAAUUAGUCAGAGGUGAAAGCCCCGAGCUCAACUUGGGAACUGCAUUCGAAACUGGCGGGCUUGAAUACGGGAGAGGGAAGCGGAAUUCCUGGUGUAGAGGUGAAAUUCGUAGAUAUCAGGAAGAACACCAGUGGCGAAAGCGGCUUCCUGGCCCGAUAUUGACGCUCAUGUACGAAAGCGUGGGGAUCAAACAGGAUUAGAUA
Molecule: ribosomal RNA, 279 nt
Filed under: uncultured bacterium
Lineage: Bacteria
Description: partial 16S ribosomal RNA
Rfam family: Bacterial small subunit ribosomal RNA
Source: RNAcentral